RNAcentral lists this ribosomal RNA (468 nucleotides) under uncultured bacterium. Its description in RNAcentral is "partial 16S ribosomal RNA". It matches the Rfam family "Bacterial small subunit ribosomal RNA", at positions 28 to 507 of the family's 1533-position model. The record is from RNAcentral.
GACGAACGCUGGCGGCGUGCUUAACACAUGCAAGUCGAACGGAAAGGCCCUGCUUUUGUGGGGUGCUCGAGUGGCGAACGGGUGAGUAACACGUGAGUAACCUGCCCUUGACUUUGGGAUAACUUCAGGAAACUGGGGCUAAUACCGGAUAGGAGCUCCUGCUGCAUGGUGGGGGUUGGAAAGUUUCGGCGGUUGGGGAUGGACUCGCGGCUUAUCAGCUUGUUGGUGGGGUAGUGGCUUACCAAGGCUUUGACGGGUAGCCGGCCUGAGAGGGUGACCGGCCACAUUGGGACUGAGAUACGGCCCAGACUCCUACGGGAGGCAGAAGUGGGGAAUAUUGCACAAUGGGAGGAAGCCUGAUGCAGCAACGCCGCGUGCGGGAUGACGGCCUUCGGGUUGUAAACCGCUUUCGCCUGUGACGAAGCGUGAGUGACGGUAAUGGGUAAAGAAGCACCGGCUAACUACGUG